This 506-nucleotide ribosomal RNA is filed under the name uncultured bacterium. RNAcentral's name for it is "partial 16S ribosomal RNA". It matches the Rfam family "Bacterial small subunit ribosomal RNA", at positions 30 to 523 of the family's 1533-position model. The record is from RNAcentral.
AUUGAACGCUGGCGGCAGGCCUAACACAUGCAAGUCGAACGGUAACAGGAAACAGCUUGCUGUUUCGCUGACGAGUGGCGGACGGGUGAGUAAUGUCUGGGAAACUGCCUGAUGGAGGGGGAUAACUACUGGAAACGGUAGCUAAUACCGCAUAACGUCGCAAGACCAAAGCGGGGGACCUUCGGGCCUCUUGCCAUCGGAUGUGCCCAGAUGGGAUUAGCUAGUAGGUGGGGUAACGGCUCACCUAGGCGACGAUCCCUAGCUGGUCUGAGAGGAUGACCAGCCACACUGGAACUGAGACACGGUCCAGACUCCUGCGGGAGGAAGCAGUGGGGAAUAUUGCACAAUGGGCGCAAGCCUGAUGCAGCCAUGUCGCGUGUAUGAAGAAGGCCUUCGGGUUGUAAAGUACUUUCAGCGGGGAGGAAGGGAGUAAAGUUAAUACCUUUGCUCAUUGACGUUACCCGCAGAAGAAGCACCGGCUAACUCCGUGCCAGCCGCCGCGGUAA